Molecule: ribosomal RNA, 634 nt
Filed under: Salmonella enterica subsp. salamae
Lineage: Bacteria; Pseudomonadati; Pseudomonadota; Gammaproteobacteria; Enterobacterales; Enterobacteriaceae
Description: partial 23S ribosomal RNA
Rfam family: Bacterial large subunit ribosomal RNA
Source: RNAcentral
UGUUUCGGCUAGGGGGCCAUCCCGGCUUACCAACCCGAUGCAAACUGCGAAUACCGGAGAAUGUUAUCACGGGAGACACACGGCGGGUGCUAACGUCCGUCGUGAAGAGGGAAACAACCCAGACCGCCAGCUAAGGUCCCAAAGUCAUGGUUAAGUGGGAAACGAUGUGGGAAGGCCCAGACAGCCAGGAUGUUGGCUUAGAAGCAGCCAUCAUUUAAAGAAAGCGUAAUAGCUCACUGGUCGAGUCGGCCUGCGCGGAAGAUGUAACGGGGCUAAACCAUGCACCGAAGCUGCGGCAGCGACGCUUAUGCGUUGUUGGGUAGGGGAGCGUUCUGUAAGCCUGCGAAGGUGGCCUGUGAGGGUUGCUGGAGGUAUCAGAAGUGCGAAUGCUGACAUAAGUAACGAUAAAGCGGGUGAAAAGCCCGCUCGCCGGAAGACCAAGGGUUCCUGUCCAACGUUAAUCGGGGCAGGGUGAGUCGACCCCUAAGGCGAGGCCGAAAGGCGUAGUCGAUGGGAAACGGGUUAAUAUUCCCGUACUUGGUGUUACUGCGAAGGGGGGACGGAGAAGGCUAUGUUGGCCGGGCGACGGUUGUCCCGGUUUAAGCGUGUAGGCUGACUUUCCAGGCAAAUCCGG